Molecule: RNase P RNA, 363 nt
Filed under: Candidatus Altimarinota bacterium
Lineage: Bacteria; Candidatus Altimarinota
Description: RNase P RNA component class A
Rfam family: Bacterial RNase P class A
About the family: Ribonuclease P (RNase P) is a ubiquitous endoribonuclease, found in archaea, bacteria and eukarya as well as chloroplasts and mitochondria. Its best characterised activity is the generation of mature 5'-ends of tRNAs by cleaving the 5'-leader elements of precursor-tRNAs.
Source: RNAcentral
UCUUUUGGGAGGACAUACGCCGAGAGUUGCAAAACUCUUCGAGGAAAGUCCGGACACCACUGGGAUAGCAUGGCAGAUAACGUCUGCGGCUCUCUGAUAUAUCUAAAACAGAGAGUACGGAAAGUGCCACAGAGACGAUACUAUCCUGAGUAAUUGGGAGAAAGGUGAAAAGACUCCCCCAGGGAGUCUCCCCGUCAAACGGGAGUGGUAAACCCUAUGCGGUGCAAGAGGAAUGGUACUCUGCCUAUCUAUGACGAUCUCGGUCGAUAGGCAGAGUAUACCUCGCUAGAGGAUACGGGCGACCGUAUCACGAGAGAGAUGUAUGUCGAGACACAGAAUCCGGCUUACUACCCAGGAGGAGAG